UCUAUGAGAUUAAAGCUUCGGCACUUUGAGAUGGGCGUGCGGCUGAUUAGGUAGUUGGUAGGGUAACGGCCUACCAAGCCGACGAUCAGUAGCUGAUGUGAGAGCAUGAUCAGCCACACGGGGCACUGAGACACGGGCCCGACUCCUACGGGAGGCAGCAGUGAGGAAUAUUGGUCAAUGGAGGAAACUCUGAACCAGCCAUGCCGCGUGGAGGAUGAAGGUCCUCUGGAUUGUAAACUCCUUUUAUAAAAGAAGAAACCCCAUUUUCUAAAUGGGUUGACGGUACUUUAUGAAUAAGCACCGGCUAACUCCGUG
Molecule: ribosomal RNA, 315 nt
Filed under: uncultured bacterium
Lineage: Bacteria
Description: bacterial SSU rRNA
Rfam family: Bacterial small subunit ribosomal RNA
Source: RNAcentral